CUGAAACCUGUUUCUCCUGUAUUAAAAGGUUGGUCAGGUUUGAAACUAUUCACCCAUGCUCCUUCAAAAGUAUAAUAGAAAGGAGGCGGGUUAUUUGUGGGCCACGUGCCACUCCAAUUUGCUGAUCCCGCUGCCCUGUUGUAAGAUGGAGCUUGAUCUUGAUAAGCACUUGUACCAUAUCGUCCUCCUGCUUCUGCUCCAAAUCCUGAACUGCCAUAAGCUGAAGGUUGAUUAUUGGGUGCGCUUGUAUUGCUCUGACUCCCAUCUUCUGACUCAGAAUUGGUCCACGUUUGUUCACUUGCACCACUCUCAUCUUUUGUACUCGGUGAGGCCGGCCCUUUAGAUGAUUUUGGAGCACUCUCAUCGACUUCAUCAC
This 376-nucleotide long non-coding RNA is filed under the name Theobroma cacao (cacao). Its description in RNAcentral is "long non-coding RNA (TCAC_LNC005104)". Lineage: Eukaryota; Viridiplantae; Streptophyta; Magnoliopsida; Malvales; Malvaceae. The record is from RNAcentral.